AUGGCAGAGGCCUGCAGCUCAUGCAGGAGGCCUGUGAUUGAACAAUCCCCAGCUCCCCAGAAGACACCAGUACAAACAGGCGAGUGCAAGUCUACCAUGACCGCCAGGGCCAGGGCACACUCGAGACCCAGCUGCACGGUGGAGCCGUGCCCAGUCGUGGAAAGGCUCCCUGCGUGUGCCACAGGAGCCCCGAGCCAGGUGGAGCCUCGGACGCUGGAAAUGUGGUGUGACUGAGAAAGUGAACUUUAAACUUUAGAUGAAUCACAACCGAAGUGUAAAAAUGUAAAUACACAGAGCACACGUGGCAAGCGACUACUGUAAGGGAGCGACACUGGUCUGGAGUUUUUGGCCAUUUAGGUGAUGUGUCUAUUGGUAAGCAAGUGUGGAGCGGCUCUUUUUGGCACCAGCCCGCCACCCCACACGUCCCACUCAGGCCCCUGGAGCUCUCCAAACCAGCACGGUGAGAACUCCGAGGCCUGGGAGCACAGCUGGGAGACCAAGACUUUGCAUGGACUGCCUGGGGCUCCCCAGCCCCACCACCGGACAGUUCAUUCAGAACUACACAUUUCUUAAGUCUCGAAGCUUAAUGACGGAGCAGCUCAGGCUCUUGGAAAGGGCGACUCCCUGGCGUGUUCUGGGGUUUUCCAGCCCGAGGCUGUGACAGCCCGCAGGACGCAGGGUCCAGUGGACCGCGCUGGGGCCCGAGGGUCCGAGCUAAGGACAGGGCCCUGCAGGACCCCCGCCUCCCGUCUGCCCGGGCUGUUUCUGAGCGUGCGGACACCGAUACAGAAGUCCUCUCUGGAUGGGACUCGCUGCUGAACCCAACGAAAUCGUAUACUUACCUGAUUUUGAAAAUAACCAGUAAUCCAGAUGGCUAAUUUGUUUUAAUCAAAUUUACUAGAGCAAGAAAGGUUCUAGACCCAAGCAGCAUUCCAGACCAAGGGUGGUCCAGGGCUGCCCUCUGUCGCUAUUGUUUUUCCGUUGAAAACGGGAACAUAUUAGAAGUGCUGGCAAACACACCUCGAAUGUGACCUGCAUGCGGACACGCAAGAGUCCUCCCUCCAAACACCUCUGCGCCGCCCUCACCCUGCGAUGGCGCGACUCCGGGCGCCCCAGGCCACGCAGCAGUCUUCGUACUCACUGGCUUCGCCAGUUUUAGACGAUAACCUUUCUAGCUGGCCGCCCUUACCUCGCAGCCCAAACUCCUACCGCCCAGCGGCCGCUCCUCCAUCCCUGCGCUCUCAGACGUGGGCUCCGGGCACGUAACUUCUCAGAAGCAGCCAGACCUUUCAGCCAAAAACUCUUGGGGUCCCCCAGCUGGGUUUUAAUCCACCCUCCGGGUGAUUUGGGGGCGCACCAAUGUUCGAGACCCACUCAUCGAGAGUGCAGUAAACCCCCUAAAAAUAUCUCCGGACUCUGAUCGAUGCUGAACCUUACUGGAACGAAACACUCCCUGGCCCUGCACACUCUAUUUCGAUCUCCUGUUGGAAAUCACGAGUUCGCUUAUGCCGCUAGACUUCGGGCGAUUUUAAAUCUAAUUUCAGAUCUUUAUAAGUUGACAGCAUUCGACUUCUGACAGAGCUGUAUGAGAUGUCCCUGGAGAGAAGAGGUACACAGAGGUACCGGGAGGCAAACUCAACAUGUAAAAAUCUCAAGUCUGUUCGCGUGGUAAGUCAGCAGGACCCUUCCUCAGUGUGUGAGAUUAGCAGAUGUAUGAAAUCAUAAGGAAAUGCACUGGAGGACGCAACACGAAUGCCACACGGUGCAUCUAAAAUACGUCGAUUUAAAGAAUUGCCAAACACCUCGUGUGACAGGAGAGAGGAGGAGGACGUGAUAUCCAAGCCCUGAUUUCCCACUUCCCAUAUUCAAACCGCAGCUUUUUCACUUACUGUGGAACCCUGGCCAAUUCUCAGGUGUGUCAACUUCUCUAUCCCUGUUUAAACAUCUGGAAAAUGGAUCCAAUAAUUUUCUAUGCCCUCAAUUUGUGCGAGGGUUUCAGAAGGCUUAAGGAGUGGGCUUCAGGCUGGAGACUGGAACAUAGAAAGCGUUCCUUAAAUGCUGGUGCGUCUUAAAUUAGCUCACCUGUGACUGGUCACUACGAAAAUAGGAACGUUUUUAUCACUCAAGAAUGUUUACCGAAAGCCGUUAGAAUUUGUACAGAGCAAAUAAGAGCCAACCGGAUUGAACAGGAGACACCAGCAGAUGUUUACCCUUCUAAGCACUCUGCUCUAGCCAAACUCAUCAAGGUAAUUUCAGUCUCCCUGUCAGAGACUGAUUCAGGUGUGAGCCUGCCUUAGGAACC
This 2302-nucleotide long non-coding RNA is filed under the name Fukomys damarensis (Damara mole-rat). Its description in RNAcentral is "lncRNA (ENSFDAG00000031739.1)". Lineage: Eukaryota; Metazoa; Chordata; Mammalia; Rodentia; Bathyergidae. The record is from RNAcentral.